AUUUUUUUUUUUGGUUUAGAUUUUGGAUCAAACUAGCCAUUGGCCCAACGGCUAUAUAGCCGUUUUUGGGUCCAAACGGCUAGUUUGGGUGCAUUAAUUAAAAAAAAAUUACUUUUAAAAUUAUUUUUUAAUCCCCAAAAAUUUUCUAUAAAUACCCUACACCUUCAAAUCAUUUUUCACAUAAUUUUUAAUUCUCUCAAAUCUCAUUCACUCUCAAAUCUGAAUUCUCAAUUCUCAAUUCUCAGUAUUCUAUAAAUUUAAUUUCCUAAAGUUCUCUAAUUUUUUAAUUUUGCGAUUACAAAGUACGAGUAGAAGUUUCUAAAGUCGGAACCUUCGGAUACUUCCAAAAUUUGGUAUUGUCGUUCCAUCUCUUACGUUUAAUUUUUAUUUAGUGUAUUAAUUGUUGAACAUUUAAUUUUAUUAUAUUUGUGUAUUUUGAAUUUUUUUAGUUUAAUUUAUAUUAUGGAUAAAUUAAGAAAGCUCGCUACUAAAGGUGUCAAAUUUUUUGUCCCGGAAGUGGUAGUGGUAGUAAAAAGUGAAUUACUAGCGGUAGAGAUAGUUCAAGUAGUAGAUAUACCCGUGUGCCUCCGACAUCGCUUAGUUAACCUUUUGAGGAAGAAUUAGGUGUACCUUUAGGUGUAGGUGCUCACGAUAUGGAUUAUGUAGAAUCUCAGGAAAAUUACGGUAUAGAAGAAGAAAAUGAUGUAGAUGCGGUUAAUUUAGACAAAGAUGAUGAAAAUAUUGGUGAAACACCCGCAGUAGGAAAUGAUAAUGUUAGAUCUGAAUCGGUUAAUCUCCCUUCCCGUCCUCCUCGUGCCCCAAGAUCUCGUAAAACAACUAGUAUUGCAUGGCAAUUUUUUGAACGUAUAUCAGAUACUGAGGUGCAAUGCAUUAUUUGUCAACAAAUAUAUAAGCAUAAAAGCUGAGGCAAGCAAGGGUGAUACGGGUCAAAGAGGCAUCUUAGCACUCGAGGAUAUGAAGACGUGAGGAAAGACCCAAGCUUGUAGGGCUGCCUAACCAAGGAACAAGCUUUAAAGUGUAGAGAACAAGUCCCAACACUCCAAAGAUGUCCAAGAAGCCAAGCCCCUUUGUUUGGGCUCAUUAAGGGCCUUUUGGUCAUUUAUGUAACAAGUGUUGCCCUAGCCUAUAAAUAGAACAAUUAGGUCAUUUUUUCAUUUAGACUUUGAUGAUAUGUUUUGAGAGCACCAUAGAGUGUCUUGCAAGGUGGAAUCCUUGUGUUGGUAGCUUUCUUAGAAACGUUGGUUGCUUAGGGAUUCCGGUUCCCUUGAGGUAAUGUAAGAGAUAGGUUUAUGUUGCGUUUGGUAUUAAAGGUCCAAGAGUGGAAUAAGCUCUUAGGUUGUUAAUAUUACAUCUCCAUUUGUCUAUCUUUCUAUCUUUACUUUGUUCUAAUCGUUGGUGUUCUUGUUCUAGUAUUGUAACCUGUGACUUGUUGUCAUUGUUAUAUCCUUGUUGUUGUUCAUCUUGUCUUCAUAUUGUUGUUGUUAAUCUUACUUUGGAUUGGCUGUUUUGGUGUUAAAACACACCCUUUAUCUCGUCAUUGUUGUUGUUAUUGUUGAAUCCGAAUGUGGUCUCUAAAUGAUCCUUGAAUCUUCGGAUUUGUGGACUGUUUUGAAUGUGUUUUCUUGUCUUUUUGAUAAUUCCAGUAUCAUUUGGUAUCAGAGCCAUCUUUGGUUUUGUUCCUACAACACCAAUCUUGAGCUCCCUUGGUUGAAAAUUAUAUAUAGAAAAAAGGUUUGAAAACUGAAAUUUCCAAAAAAUUGCAAAACUGUCCAUUUGGUGUUCUUGGCCGAAAAUUGUGUUAUUGUUGUGUAUUGGCCAAGAAUUUUUGUUUGUUUAGUUGUUUCUAAGUGUUGGCUUUCUUGUUCACUAACACUUUGAGUCUAAAAUCUAAACUUGAGCUUCAACUUGUUGGAGUUGUUGUUGUGAACUUGAAGAGUGGCCGAUUAUUGUUGUUCAUUGUGGUCUUAGCCGUGACUUGUU
This 2001-nucleotide long non-coding RNA is filed under the name Capsicum annuum. RNAcentral's name for it is "long non-coding RNA (CANN_LNC022331)". Lineage: Eukaryota; Viridiplantae; Streptophyta; Magnoliopsida; Solanales; Solanaceae. The record is from RNAcentral.